This 21-nucleotide non-coding RNA is filed under the name Caenorhabditis elegans. Lineage: Eukaryota; Metazoa; Nematoda; Chromadorea; Rhabditida; Rhabditidae. The record is from RNAcentral.
UUUAUGAACGAAAUUACUAUU